This 2204-nucleotide long non-coding RNA is filed under the name Volvox carteri. RNAcentral describes it as "long non-coding RNA (VCAR_LNC003542)". Lineage: Eukaryota; Viridiplantae; Chlorophyta; Chlorophyceae; Chlamydomonadales; Volvocaceae. The record is from RNAcentral.
AAUUACACGUAAAAAUCCACACUUCUCUGUUAUAUGGAGUCGAGCUGCAAAUACUAUCUACUGUAGUCAGCUCCAAAGUUCAAGAUAUAUCUAGUCGUUACCCUACCCAUUGCUUGUGGGGUAAGAUCUUUGUCCAUGCGGCAUAGCUAAGAAUCUGCCUUUUGUGGAAUAAUGCAGUGACGGAGUUCCGUUGGCGGUGUUCUACAGAGCCGCUGCUUCAAGCCAUGUAUUAAAAAUCCUUAGGAGUAUUGUUGUAUUUUUUUAAUCGCUACCGUAAUGGAUACCAACGAGCAGAAGUGGACAUGGCAGUCGCUAGGUUGGCUGGUCCUUGAACGCCUGCAGAGAGGUGAGAGGCACGAAGUAAAAGGAAAUCUUUUAGAAGUUAAAAACUUAACCAGCACUGGCCUUGAUAGGUUGGUUGUGUUUCGACAAGUGGGCGGGGUGGCUUAUCGGCCUAGACAACUCCAAGUACCAAUGGGCAGUGGCUGAGCACCGCUUACAACAGAGCGAGGUAAGUAACGCACGGAGCCUGGUACGUAUUCCUCCUUGCAAGGCUUUUGCGUUGACGGCAUCCUUCCUUGUCUCGCAGCUUGAACAGGAGAUCGGCAGACGGCUUACAGCGGAGGUAGGUCAGGACGCCGCAACCCACACCGCCUCCUUGCUAUCCUUCACGUCAACAAAUAAAUCUCACUAUCGUGCCCUCAGCCAACCGUUUCCCCGUUUAAUACCUCUCUUGCGCAGGACAACAUCCGGCAGCAAAUGGAAGAGGGACCCCAGGCCGCUGCUUGCAAUGAUUCGGGUCUUGCGCAGCAACGAGUGCCAGCAGGCGGGGUCGGCCGCCAGGAGGUAGAAUUGACAAACCCGCUGAGCAACACCAUCGUGCGGUAACAGCGAAUGGCUGGCUUGGGAUAGGUUAAGCUACAUGGGCGUCACAUAGGCCACUGCCUCCUAUGUAUCCCUACAGCUCAGCUGAAGACAGAACCAGCAUACCGUUUUGUAUACCUCCAAACACGCACACAUGUGCUAUGUGCGCACACGCGCACGCACACGCACACUCAUGCAGAUAUGUGGGCGCAGUGCACAUUGCUUGCCACGCCUUGGCAUACACGCGUGACAUGCCCCCGUCAAGUCGAUGUAUCAUAUACUGUGUAUAUUCGUAUUGGCCGACUGGCACUUUUAACACACUCGAUGGGUAAUGAACGCGUGGUGGAUGUGGUGGCUGACUCUCUGCAUGUGCCGGCCUGAUGCGUGUGGUUGUGGGGGUCGCUUCUGCACUGCCUCGCACGCAGUGUAGGGUUCGCGGGUAGAGUUGUGUUGCCGGAGCUCCCUGGCUGAACUUCAGUGAGCUGGCUAGCUGCUACCCCAGCUAGCUGUGUCGCCUCCAUGCGGUGACUAUUACUACUAUUACUCGAUCCUGCGGCUGCCGCAGCUGCUGCAUGCAAUUCCUUUUGUCGGCUGUUAGGCUAUGCGGCAGAGGAUCGGACAUGUGCAUAACUGAUGAAAAGAAUGAGCACGUAAAGAGCAAAUGCUGACUGUCAAUUUUCCUGGAAUUGCUUUUAAUAACAAGAGAGAGAAGUACGGGAAUAGUAGGAUGGGGGAUGGACGUACGAGGUGUCACGCCAUAUGACGUGCUAAUAGACAUAAGAAAUGCGGAUGGAUCACUUGUGGGUAAAUGAUUAUACAAUAGGAGCUUUCCUCAAAGCUCCGGCUUGAUUCGGCUGGCUCACUCCAGCUUCGUUAACUUGAUGAGCGCGAUCGCGGUAGGCGAGGACGGGCUGGGAACGGAUCCCUGUCGAGCCUAGAGGUAUAAGCACUAAGGGCGGACCUUAUGGAAUGCUGUGUACACACUCUCUGUCUAUCCUGCUCUGAUGCGCGUCUCGAGGUAGGGUAGGAUCACAGUCUUGUUACACCAAAACAGGCCUAUCAACCCUCCUAUGAUUAUAUUAUCCUUAAUAAUCAAUGGUCUGUACGCUCACGAAGAGUUGCUUCGAGAGCCAAACGACAAAUGUUUGGCCUCUUCGCACUCGCAUUUAUGGCGAAGUAUCGACUGAUCCACGCCGGGCCUUAUCACACGAGGCCCUAUCCUGGAUACGUAACGCUCAUCCGACUAACGACAGAUGAACGACAAUUGAACAUCCUCAAACGACAACGGAAAGCGCCUUAUACGCUAGUCAGGCAACACCCAAAGUCUCAAUUAAAUCAAU